Non-coding RNA from Entelurus aequoreus (snake pipefish), 72 nucleotides. NCBI's taxonomy places the organism in Eukaryota, Metazoa, Chordata, Actinopteri, Syngnathiformes, Syngnathidae. The record is from the annotation of a RefSeq genome assembly.
GGUUCCAUGGUGUAGUGGUUAGCACGCUGGACUUUGAAUCCAGCGAUCUGAGUUCAAGUCUCGGUGGAACCU